AGUGAACGCUGGCGGCGUGCCUAACACAUGCAAGUCGAACGAUGAUGGAGGAGCUUGCUCUUCCUGAUUAGUGGCGCACGGGUGAGUAACGCAUAGGUAAUGUGCCCCUUAGUCUGGGAUAGCCACUGGAAACGGUGAUUAAUACUAGAUACUCCUUCUUGUCUCAAGGCAAGUCGGGAAAGUUUUUCGCUAAGGGAUCAGCCUAUGUCCUAUCAGCUAGUUGGUGAGGUAACGGCUCACCAAGGCUAUGACGGGUAUCUGGUUUGAGAGGAUGAUCAGACACACUGGAACUGAGACACGGUCCAGACUCCUACGGGAGGCAGCAGUGAGGAAUAUUGCACAAUGGAGGAAACUCUGAUGCAGCAACGCCGCGUGGAGGAUGACGCAUUUCGGUGUGUAAACUCCUUUUAAGAGGGAAGAUUAUGACGGUACCUCUUGAAUAAGCACCGGCUAACUCCGUGCCAGCAGCCGCAGUAA
Molecule: ribosomal RNA, 477 nt
Filed under: uncultured bacterium
Lineage: Bacteria
Description: partial 16S ribosomal RNA
Rfam family: Bacterial small subunit ribosomal RNA
Source: RNAcentral